This 387-nucleotide ribosomal RNA is filed under the name Telonemia sp. RNAcentral describes it as "partial small subunit ribosomal RNA". It matches the Rfam family "Eukaryotic small subunit ribosomal RNA", at positions 582 to 975 of the family's 1831-position model. The record is from RNAcentral. Lineage: Eukaryota; Telonemia.
AUUCCAGCUCCAAUAGCGUAUAUUAAAGUUGUUGCAGUUAAAAAGCUCGUAGUUGGAGUUCAGAGUGAGCUCAGCCGGUCGGCCUCAUGGGUCAGAACUGGUCGACUCUCUCUUGUUUGUGGAUCCCGUCCGGAGUUAACUCUUCGGAAUGUGGAGUUCACAUCGUUUACCUUGAAAAAAUUAGAGUGUUCAAAGCAGGCGUUUGCUUGAAUAUAUUAGCAUGGAAUAAUGGAAUAGGACCCUGGUUCUAUUUUGUUGGUUUUGAGAACCAGAGUAAUGAUUAAUAGGGAUAGUUGGGGGCAUUCAUAUUUCAUUGUCAGAGGUGAAAUUCUUGGAUUUAUGAAAGAUGAACUUCUGCGAAAGCAUUUGCCAAGGAUGUUUUCAUCA